RNAcentral lists this microRNA precursor (135 nucleotides) under Chlorocebus sabaeus (green monkey). RNAcentral describes it as "miRNA (ENSCSAG00000025332.1)". The record is from RNAcentral. Lineage: Eukaryota; Metazoa; Chordata; Mammalia; Primates; Cercopithecidae.
CAAUAGAAAUUUAUUUUCUCACAGUUCUGGAGGCUGGAAAUCCAAGUUCAAGGUGCUGGCAGACUUGGUUCUCCUGAGGCCUCUCUCCUUGGCUUGCCGACAGCUACCUUCUUGCUGUGUCUUCCCAAGGCCUUU